Molecule: transfer RNA, 74 nt
Filed under: Candidatus Uhrbacteria bacterium RIFOXYC2_FULL_47_19
Lineage: Bacteria; Candidatus Uhriibacteriota
Description: tRNA-Gly
Rfam family: tRNA
About the family: Transfer RNA (tRNA) molecules are approximately 80 nucleotides in length. Their secondary structure includes four short double-helical elements and three loops (D, anti-codon, and T loops).
Source: RNAcentral
GCGGGUGUAGUUCAAUGGUAGAACACCACUCUUCCAAGGUGGCUACGUGGGUUCGAUUCCCGUCACCCGCUCCA